UGGGGAUGUGGGAAAAUUAGAAGCCUUGCACAUGGCCGAUGGGAAUGUAACAUGAAGCUGUGCUGUGGAAAACAGUCUGGAGUUUCCUUAAAAUGGUGAUGAGAAUGUUUUGGUACCAGAUAGAGGCGGUUACACAGCGCUGAUGAGGUACCAAACGCCCCUGGAAGAUUGAUGUUAUGCUAUAUAAAUUUCACCUCCAUUAAAAAAGAAACAAACAAAAAACUAACAUCUGUGGAAUGUCCUAGUGAUAGCAGAAACAGAAUCUGGAGAAACAGUGACUCACUCAGGUUUCCAGACAGACGACCAUGGAUACAAGUAGCCAUAACAAAUCUGAUGAAUUCGCCGCCCAAGUGAGCAAAAGAAGGAGUGCCAGCCUCUAUGCUGCCAGAAACCCCGUGUCCACACGUUUCUUGGUAGACAUCCCUAAAUAUCAUAGCAGGGCAAAGCAGCUUUGAAAUCUGAAACCACUACUCAACAAUCAACGUGCUGGAAACAGUCUGCAUCCCUUUCUGUUCCCAAGGUUGGGCCGAGGGAAAUGCUACGUUCAGAAAAGAUGAGCGUGUCAAAACCCCCGGUGAUUUCUAACGCUUGUGGAACACAUUGCAUAGGAGCAAUUUAGGUGACAAAGAGAGCACCCUUCAGUCCAGAUUUACACUGUGUUCCUAUUCACCGACACAUCAGCAAACAUUAUAAAUGCCUUGCCUGGGUAAUGAAUGGCUUCU
Molecule: long non-coding RNA, 722 nt
Organism: Herpailurus yagouaroundi (jaguarundi)
Lineage: Eukaryota; Metazoa; Chordata; Mammalia; Carnivora; Felidae
Exons: 3
Source: RefSeq, a predicted model, not a curated record